This is a long non-coding RNA of Oncorhynchus tshawytscha (Chinook salmon), 249 nucleotides long. Lineage: Eukaryota; Metazoa; Chordata; Actinopteri; Salmoniformes; Salmonidae. The record is from Ensembl.
GAGCCAGCCCUAUAGUCAGUCAGAGAGCCAGCCCUAUAGUCAGUCAGAAAACCAGCCCUAUAGUCAGUCAGAGAGCCAGCCCUAUAGUCAGUCAGAGAGCCACCCCUAUAGUCAGUCAGGGAGCCAGCCAGCCAUAUAGUCAGUCAGAGAGCCAGCCAGCCCUAUAGUCAGUCAGAGAGCCAGCCCUAUAGUCCUUCAAAGAGCCAGCCAUAUAGUCAGUCAGAGAGCCAGCCCUGUAGUCAGUCAGAG